RNAcentral lists this ribosomal RNA (492 nucleotides) under uncultured bacterium. RNAcentral describes it as "partial 16S ribosomal RNA". It matches the Rfam family "Bacterial small subunit ribosomal RNA", at positions 29 to 507 of the family's 1533-position model. The record is from RNAcentral.
AGUGAACGCUGGCGGUAGGCCUAACACAUGCAAGUCGAACGGCGGCACAGUAAGAGCUUGCUCUUACGGGUGGCGAGUGGCGGACGGGUGAGGAAUACAUCGGAAUCUACUUUUUCGUGGGGGAUAACGUAGGGAAACUUACGCUAAUACCGCAUACGACCUACGGGUGAAAGCAGGGGAUCUUCGGACCUUGCGCGAUUGAAUGAGCCGAUGUCGGAUUAGCUAGUUGGCGGGGUAAAGGCCCACCAAGGCGACGAUCCGUAGCUGGUCUGAGAGGAUGAUCAGCCACACUGGAACUGAGACACGGUCCAGACUCCUACGGGAGGCAGCAGUGGGGAAUAUUGGACAAUGGGCGCAAGCCUGAUCCAGCCAUACCGCGUGGGUGAAGAAGGCCUUCGGGUUGUAAAGCCCUUUUGUUGGGAAAGAAAAGCAGCAGGUUAAUACCCCGCUGUUCUGACGGUACCCAAAGAAUAAGCGCCGGCUAACUUCGUG